RNAcentral lists this long non-coding RNA (256 nucleotides) under Elaeis guineensis (African oil palm). RNAcentral's name for it is "long non-coding RNA (EGUI_LNC056767)". The record is from RNAcentral. Lineage: Eukaryota; Viridiplantae; Streptophyta; Magnoliopsida; Arecales; Arecaceae.
UACGGGUAUCCACACAAGACUCUUGUCUGAUAAAAAAUCUUUUGAUCUCAUCGAAGUACUAACUCUCUUGGAGAGAUCACAUCUCGAUGGUUGAAAAUUUUUUUCUCUCAAGAUACUCUUAGAGAAGAAGUUGGAGGAUGAUGAUAUCUAUGCUAGAGAUCAUGAGAAGAAUCUUUUCUUCUCUUUUCUUCCUAUAACCCAUACACCAAGUCUCUAUACUAAAGAUGUAAAAAUUUUAUCCAACUUAUGGAAAAGG